Molecule: non-coding RNA, 1164 nt
Organism: Paramuricea clavata
Lineage: Eukaryota; Metazoa; Cnidaria; Anthozoa; Malacalcyonacea; Plexauridae
Source: the annotation of a GenBank genome assembly
UGAAAGUCUGAAAUUAUAGUUCAGGUAAUGGUUGCACUACAGGAUGGUGUCGUACAUUACGCUGGUUUUCCUUGCAUAGAUCACGGGUCUCCAUAAGUUGUCUUUCUAACUUCAAUACUUUUUUCUUCAAAAAAUCUAGCUCCUGAAAAAUGUUUGUAAUAUCAGGAUGAAUGAUCUUCUGCUCUUCUUGCCUUAUGUCGUGUUCCAAUGAUGCCAUGCUGGUGAGGAAUUGAUCCACGUUCUAUGUAUACAAUAUUUCGAAUUUCCAUGCAACAGCCAAUGUGAUUAUCCAAGGUUGUCUUUCUUCAAGUUCUCUGUUAGAAUGCCGUAUUUGUAUUGAGCAGUCUCUUUUAUAGCCGAGCAAAGCAUCGAGCCGAGUCGAGCAAAGCGUCGAGCCGAACAAAGCGUCGAGCCAAACAAAGCGUCGAGUCAAGCAAAACGUCGAGCAGAGCGUCGAGAGCAUUUUUUCAAACAAAAAUAAAUUUUCUGGAGCCACAUAGCAGAUCACGUAAUUCGGUCAUUGUUUUUUUCUCGAUAUAUUUGCCAUAUACCUUCGUUGUUGGUCGUAUGGACUUAUUGCAUAUCAGACAACGCCUCGUCCGCGUUCAAUGCCGAACUCAACAGUGUUUUCCUAAACUCGUUUACACUACUCCGUACAUCUGUUUUCAACUUUUUUCGAGCAGAGCAAAGCGUCGAGCAGAGCAAUGCGUCGAGCAGAGCAAAACGUCGAGCAGAGCAAUACAUCGAGCAGAGCAAUACAUCGAGCAGAGCAAAGCGUCGAGCAAAGCAAUACAUCGAGCAGAAGCAAAGCGUCGAGCAGAGCAAAGCGUCGAGCAGAGCAAAGCGAGCAUUGCUUGAGACAUUCACCCAAAGCCUUGGUUGACCGGAAUGAAAUGUUUGAUAUUGGCACUGUCUUUAUAAUGUCAAUGUUUUGUCCAAUGAAAACGCAUUACGUCAUGCAGUUUGACAGGUGUAAAAUAAUUUUCAAUAACUGUGUCUGACUAUACUUGUGUAUCAGUAUUUUUGAUGAUAACAAAAGUAUAGCGACCUUAUUCACAUACAUGCACAUUCCCAAAUACAUGCAACAAGCUUUCGGUUUCAUGUUAUUGUUUCUAUGAAUUUGCGUAUAUAUAUCUUCAUAUAUUUUCAACUAUUUCAGGCGGG